UACGUAGGGUGCGAGCGUUAAUCGGAAUUACUGGGCGUAAAGCGUGCGCAGGCGGUUUUGUAAGUCUGUCGUGAAAUCCCCCGGGCUUAACCUGGGAAUUGCGAUGGAGACUGCAAGGCUAGAAUCUGGCAGAGGGGGGUAGAAUUCCACGUGUAGCAGUGAAAUGCGUAGAGAUGUGGAGGAACACCGAUGGCGAAGGCAGCCCCCUGGGUCAAGAUUGACGCUCAUGCACGAAAGCGUGGGGAGCAAACGAGG
RNAcentral lists this ribosomal RNA (255 nucleotides) under uncultured bacterium. RNAcentral describes it as "partial 16S ribosomal RNA". It matches the Rfam family "Bacterial small subunit ribosomal RNA", at positions 524 to 777 of the family's 1533-position model. The record is from RNAcentral.